GGGGGUGUAGCUCAACUGACUAGAGCACUCGGCUCUUAACCGAUAGGUUCUGGGUUUGAAUCCCAGUGCCCCUACCA
This 77-nucleotide transfer RNA is filed under the name Burkholderia ubonensis. Its description in RNAcentral is "tRNA-Lys". It matches the Rfam family "tRNA". Rfam says of the family: Transfer RNA (tRNA) molecules are approximately 80 nucleotides in length. Their secondary structure includes four short double-helical elements and three loops (D, anti-codon, and T loops). Further hydrogen bonds mediate the characteristic L-shaped molecular structure. tRNAs have two regions of fundamental functional importance: the anti-codon, which is responsible for specific mRNA codon recognition, and the 3' end, to which the tRNAs corresponding amino acid is attached (by aminoacyl-tRNA synthetases). tRNAs cope with the degeneracy of the genetic code in two manners: having more than one tRNA (with a specific anti-codon) for a particular amino acid; and 'wobble' base-pairing, i.e. permitting non-standard base-pairing at the 3rd anti-codon position. The record is from RNAcentral. Lineage: Bacteria; Pseudomonadati; Pseudomonadota; Betaproteobacteria; Burkholderiales; Burkholderiaceae.